GAAUUUUAAAAAUCCAUACAUCAACUCAUAUUUCUCUAAAAAUUAAUUAUUAAUCAGCCAUUAUAAGAAAAAAAAGAAAGAGAAAGCAAGCAAGCAAGGAAGAAAGAAAGAAAGGAAGGAAGGAAGGAAGGAAGGAAGGAAGGAAAGAAUAAAUAAAUAAAGGAAAGAAAGAAAGAAAGAGAAGAAAAAGGAAAAGAAAGAAAGACAGAGAGAAAGAAAGGAAGGAAGGGGGAGGGUCAGAGGGAAGGAAAGAAGAAAGAGUGAGUCAGACAAGGAGAUGUGAGUUAGCUUUGUAAAUAUCCAUAAUCCAUUUUUAACUAUAACUAAGAAAUCACGUUGUCCAAGGCCUUGGGAGUCCACUCCUUGUACCAGUAUGCCUUGGAUGUUGGACACGAAAUCAAAAGAGAUUAUUUUGGAGCUUUAAGUUUUAAUGACUGCCUUGCUGGGAUUCAAACUUGCUUGGGGCCUGUAUCUUCUUUCUUUUGGUCAAUUUCUCCCUUUUUGAACAGGAAUGCUUACCCAAUUCCUAUACCUCCAUUGUAUCUUGGAAGUAAAUAACCUGAUUUUUAUUUUACAGGAUCAUAGAUGGAAGGGACUUGCCUUGUCUCAGACAGGACUUGGGACUUUUGAGUCAAUGCUGGAAUCAGUUAAGAAUUUAGGGGACUGUUGGGAAGGCAUGAUACCAUUUUGAAAUGUCAAAAGGGCAUGAGAUUUUCAAAGGGCCAGAGCAGAAUGAUAUACUUUUCAGAAUGAUAUCCCCCAAAUAUCAUGUUGAAUUGUAAUCCCCAAUGCUGGGGUGAGGUCUUGUGGGAGGUGUUUGGAUCAUGGAGGCAGAUCUCUCAUGACUUGGUACUUACUUCAUGAUAGUGAGUUCUCAUGGGAUCUAGUCCUUUAAAAGUGUGUGGCACCUCCUCUGCUCACUCUCUUUCUUGCUCCUGCUUUUACCAUGUGACGUGCCAGCUCUCCCUUUACCUUCUGCCAUGUUUGGGAGCUUCCUGAGGCCUUCCCAGAAGCAGAUGCCAGUAUGCUGCCUGUACAACCUGCAGAACUAAACCAAUUCUAUUCUAUGAACUGUCAAAUAUGAUCAACAUAUCCUUCACAUCUACGUUCAAAUCAAAGCUGGAGCCAUCGCAUGAAUAUGUACACUUUAAAAUUCACAAAAGGACAUUCUCACAGGUUCACUGGAGCUUAAUGAGUAGUUAAUAUAUCUGCACCGAAGUGACAGGGGAGAAGUGUUACUCAGCAAUGGCUAACCGGAACAUCUUCCAUUAUUAUUGAUUAUAUGAGUUUGAAAUUAUGAAAAUUGUUGGAGAGUUUCCUUAUCAAAUCUUUCCUAUGUAGUAAUAUAGUUGGAGCCAUCACAAAGCUGAAUUUUGAAGCAGUUCACAGGUUCCAGGAUAACCAGAUGACUGAGGAAUGUUGAAGAUUGCAGUGAUGGAAGUGCCUCAGUCAGCCUGGAAGACUGUAUGGAUGGAGGUUGCCUGGCCACACUGUCAUGUCCCUCUCUCCCUGAAAAAGAGACACAUUUGCCUUUGGGCAAGGCAAUACAUACAUUUGGUCUAUGUAUACACUUUGGUCUAUGCAUUCUGUUAUUUAACAUUCUAAUAAUGUUGAUGACCUUAAAAUAUGCUUGACAAUGAUCCGUGUAAAUCAUUAUUAUUCUGCCUUCUGCAAGAUAAGAAUUAUGGGCCAGGUAUGGCACUUAACGCCUAUAAUACAAACAUUUUGGAAGGCCAAGGCAGGAGGAUUGCUUGAGCUCAGGAGUUAGAGACCAGCUUGGGCAACAUAGUGAGACCUCAUCUCUACUAAAAAUAAAACAAAAAAAGUUAUGAGAGUGACACUGCACUCCAGCUUGGGUGACAGAGCGAGAUCCUGUAUCCAAAUAAAUAAAUAUCUAAUAUAGGAAUUAUCAAAUUCAACACAUAUUAAUUAUUUUCAUAUCCAUUUAUGGAAAAUAAUAAUGUGGGGAUGAUUCUUAAAAGGGAUUCUGGAAGUGGUUUCUUCAAUUAAAUAUAUUCAAAACUCAUUCCCGCUUACUACACAAAUCAAAGAGGAAUUGAAAAUGUGUGUGAUUCCCACUAAAUUAUUUUCCUUUCAUAUGGCUUGAUGUUACUGUCUUUGUGGAGUGGCUGAGAAAUGUCUCCUUCUUGCCUUUAUCUUCAAAGGCUCUGCCAAUGUGAAGUACAGGAGAGAGAGGCAAGAGCAGGGCCCACUAGUGGAAUCAUCUCAGCCUUAUUCCCCAGGGGAAAACACAUUCUUUUUCACUUUCCUGAGCUGCCUUAUCUGAUAAAAAUGAUUCUUACAUCUCCCAGCAAUGCCUUCUGAUUGUAAUGUAGUUUAUGCCACUGGUUUGCCUAUUUCUCAAAUAUAAACCUACACGCAUGUACACACAUUUGGCCUUAGCCUUUCUAAUUCCACUCUCAUCAGGACAGAUUGCACACCUGUAAACAUUCUUAGAUCAACUCCAGUAAUCAAUCCACAUUCAUGUAACCCCUGCAGAAUAAAGAUCAUUGGAGACCUUCAAGAUUGACUUCCCAUUUAAACCGUAAGAAAACAAGACCCCAAUGUGUCAGCUGCAGAACCACAAUAAGGACCUAAGUCCCAUGUCUUAUUGUUCAGUGGUUUUUCUAAGUCACUGUAAAAUUUUUCUACAUUCCUGGCCUGAGAACAGAAGUACCUUUUGCUUAUCUAUUCAAUUAAAUUCAGUAGUUGGUAAAUGUGAAUAAAGGAAAUCAAAACACUAUUGAAGAUUAUUUAGAUAUGGCUGAGAAGUGGGGUGAACAAACCUGACCCACUUUAACUUAGAGAUUCAAAAUAUAAACUUAACUCAGUUGCAGUCAACAACCUGACAUUAAAUGCAAACAUACAAGUAAAGAACCCAAGUAAACAGAAAAAACUAACCUGCUACCUACCUUUAAACACUAAAUAUAGAGCUCCUGUCGUCCUGUUUCUUACUGAUUUAUAACUUCAAAUAAUGGGUCAAGAAAAAAGCUACAUAUAUGAAAAGAUGAGAUCUGCGUUUCAAUCCAAAUCUUUCUUUCAAUAACCCUACUACUUGAAACCAUAGAAGGAGACAGGAACUUCCUCCCUUGUUUCUUUUUUCUUUUUCAAAACUACCCACUAAUCUUUUAAUUAAAAGUGAAUGAUGGAGAGAUGGCAAGUGAGCAGGAGAAGCUGAGGAACACAGCUCCCUUAUGUAUUUGCACAACGCUAAUCACUCUUCACAUCUUACAGAGAGAUCUGUACUAGUUACAUGGAAUCUAAUCUGUUCUACUAAAGCUGAUGCUGUCAGCUGCCAUGCUUAGCUCUCAUUCAUUAUGCUUGUAGACACAUUUUGAGAAAAUACAUUAUCUAGAAGAGAAACUUCUAAGAAGGUUUUAUAUACUAUAUGAUGCUAAUAUUUUAGAUAAUGUUUUAUGCUAGUUUAAUCUUUGUGUAUUGAAAGAACUCUGAUUUUCCUGGAAGUCCCUAGACAGUACAUUUAAUUAAUCUUACCUCUCAGUUCAACAAGUUGCCUUUUACUUUAGUCAUAUAAUCAAUCUCUUGGUAAUAAUAUAUAGUGAUAUCCAGGCAUGUAUGAUGCAAGCAAGUUUUUAGUUUAAAGCUAAGGAAUUAAAAUGAAAACAAUACAUAGUGCUCUCUGUACAACAAUGACUGAGAAUAGGUAGUCGUGCUCUUUAUAUACAAGGCACUGUGCUGAGCAUAUUUUGUAAGUUAUUGCCAUGAUUCCAUGUAAUUAUGUAUUAUAAUUUUACCUUUGAAGAAGAUAAGCCUCAAAAAUGGCAAGCAGUUCACCCACCCACAUUUAAAUGUCUGUUACACCUCUGAGAUAUACAACCCAUGAAUUCUACCAUUAUUCACUCUGUCUGUCAACUCCAUUCUGUCUUCAUGUACCUCCCAGCCCAAUUGAUGUGUCAAGGCAUUGGAUUUAAUUCAUUCACUCCAGAAAUAUUUAUCACAUGCUUAUAGGUGCUUGGCUCUCUUCUAGGUGCCCAAGUCACAUCAGUGAAAAAAAAAAAUAAACAAGAUCCUCAUCCUCAUCAAGCUUAUAUUUAUUUCCCAACAUCUGAUUUCAAUUUCCUUGCCAUGCACUCCUUUCAUCAUAGAAGCCUUACAAAAUCCCCAAUCCAAUUGAAUCUAAUUCUGUGCUUCAUGUUUCUCACCCUCGCUUGGUAAAACCCACAACUGUGCUUGCCGGAUUUUACCAUAAAUUACUAACCAUGAACUUCAAGUGGUCUAUUAGUGAUCAGUACCAACGCUUUAAUAGUUGUCUGCUCCUUUGACUCUUUCACAUUCCUAAAAGAUUUUCCAUUUUUCUCUGUCUCCUUCCAGCAACUCCUGGCCAAUUCUUAUCUCACCUAAUGACUUUGAUUCUUAUUAUACAAAGACAAUAGUAAAAAUCAGAAGAGUACUUAUACAAACUACCACCAUGAAAAUCAUCACUCUACCUGUAUCUCUCCCGACUCUUGAUCAUCCUUCCUACCACUGUGGAGAAAUUUUUCUGUGCAUUUUUGUUCUCAGUACUGCUGAAGAUUUUUUCCAUGCUUCUGUCCAAGGAGGGCAUCUCUUCACUAGAUCCCAGUUGUAUCAUUCUAGCAUUGGCGCUUAUUUUCUCGCAUAUCACUGGCUUUCCAAUUUUUCCCUUUUAAAAGGAUAAUUCUUAUAAAUUUACAGCUAUAAUAGAUAACAGAAAAAAGCCUCUCUUGAUCCAAGGUCUCCUUCCGUUUCCCACCCCAUUUAUCUCUUUUUCUUUACAUUAAAGUUUUUCCAACUGUUUCCAGUUUCUCCCACAGAAUUCUCUCCUUAAUCUAGCCCUGGAAGACUCUCAGGCCUAUGACUUCAAAAUGAGAUCCUCCACCCAGACCAUUAUUGAUCUCAAAGUUGCUAAGUUCAGGUAAAUUCCUGGUACUUGUCUUACUUGACCUCUGUGGUGCUUAAAUUAGCUGAUCCCUUUCCUUCUUGAAACACAUUGUCCAGUUUAUUUCCAGGAUGCCAUUUUCUUGAUUCUUCUCAUGAGAUUCUGCUCAGAUUUCUUUGUUUGAUCUUUCUCAACUCUCCAGCCUUUGAAAUUUGGGAUGCACUAAAACUCAGUCCAUUGAUAUUUCCUUUUAAAAAUGCCCAUUGCCCUACUGAACACAUCUAGUCUCGUAUCAUCUACACAUGGAUGAUUUCCCAAUUUAUAUUUCCACAUUUAAAUGCCUACUCUAAAUAUUUGCAUGGCUAUCUAAAAAGCAUCUCAAAUGUAACAUGCCCAUAUUUGAUCUCCCUCAUACUUCCCUCUUCCAAUAAAAUUUUCAAGUCUUCUUCUCAGUAAUGGUAAAUACUCUCUACGGCCAUAUCAUCCUGAACAUGCACAAUCUCAUUAACAAUGGCAAAUACUUUCUUCCAGAUGCUGAUGUGGAAAACCUAAUGUUCAUCCUUGAUUAAUAUUUUUCUCUUACAUCACAUAUCUCACCCACCCCUGUACCACCUGUUUCAAGCCAUCAUCACUUUACACCUGCAUUAUUGCAAUAUCCUCCUAAGAAGCUGCUCUUUUUUUUCACCACCUCCAACAUCAGCUCGUAACACAGCAGCCAAAAUGACCAUUUUAAAAUAAAAGUUAGAUCCUCUCUCUCUCUCAGUAUAAACGCUCUUUCUCAGAGUAAAAGCCAGGUCUAACAAUGGCACCUCAUAAUUGUCCAUCUUAUCUCCUGACCUCAUUUCUUACCUCUCUCCUUCUCUAGCUCUUUUCCUUAUACCCUGGAAUCCUUGAACUUGAUCCAGACUCAGGACCUCUUCCUGGAACAUUCUACUCUCUGAUAGCUCUAGAACUAGAAUAUAAGGUAAAUAACACUUGCUGAUUUGAAAAAUAUACUACAAACCUAAGUGGUUUAAUACAAUAUCUUUUUUUUUUUUUUUUUGGCUAAUAUUACAGUCCAGUGAGAAUAUGACAGCACCUCUGGUUAGCUCUCUUCUAAGCAGAGAUUAAGUCCUUGAUUUUGGUCCUAAAGAGAGAAAGAAAAAGCAAGGAGAAGAGUACAGUGAGUUUUAAGAGUCUGACCUGUAAAUGGCCUACAUUUUUCCUUCCCACAUUUCAACAACUACUGCUCAGUCUCAUGACUAAUCUAUCUGCAAAGAGAUAAAUUCAGAAGCACAAAGCUAGCCUAAAUAUUAGAAUGCCCCCCCCCCCCAGAUCUCUGCCACAUUAGUCCCCUGCUUUCCUCAGGAAGACAAGGGAAACUUUUUCUGGCUACCCUGCUUACAAGAGCAACACUUCCUAAAUUAAAUGUUGCUCAGUGAUCUCCAAUCCUGCUUGUUUGUUUGCUGGUUUGAGACAGAGUCAUGCUCUGUCACCCAGGCUGGAGUGCAGUGGUGUGAUCUUGGCUCACUCUAAGCUCCACCUCAUGGGUUCAAGUGAUUAUCCUGCCUCAGCCUCCCAAGUAGCUGGGAUUACAGGUGCCCAGCACUACGCCUGGCUAAUUUUUGUAUUUUUAGUUGAGACGGGGUUUCACCAUGUUGGCCAGGCUAGUCUCAAACUCCUGACCUCAAGUGAUCCAUCUGCCUCGGCCUCCCAAAGUGCUGGGAUUACAGGUGUGACCCACUGGGCCCGGCCCAAUCCUGUUUUUUUAAUGUCCCUGGACACCCAGCUCAACUGCAUGUUUUGCUUUUCUUAAAGUUAGGUGAAGUCAGGCAAUGGAGCUUUUAGACAAGAAAAUGCAUAUAAACUGAGUGGAAUUGAUCAAACCUUGUAAUCCUGCUUCCUUAAAAUGCCUGUGUGCUGUUCUCUACUCCCUUUCUUCAACCACCAACUGAACACAGGGUUCUAGAGUUCUCAGGAGGGCAGAUACAAGAGAGCAGGAGGAUGGGUUCCUGAAUGACCACAUGGAAGGCUUCCCACUAAUAAGAAAUCUUAGUAUUGGACUUCACAUAAACACUGAGAAAAUGGCUCUUUGGGAAGCCACUAAAAUUUUUUUAUUUAUCUGUUAUAGCAGUUAGUUAUAGCCUUCCCAAUUCAAUGUCCUAUGUCUCUGAAUGUGCUUUAUUUAAAACCACAUCACUUAUCACCAUCUGACAUAUUCUGUAUUUGCCUGUCACUUUUUCUCCUGUGUCUUCUGUCCAGAGAAAGUGUUGGCCAACUAUAACCCAAGAGCCAAAUCUAGCUUGCUUCCUGUUUUCAUAUGUAAUUAUUUAUUGGAAUAUAGCCACAGCUAUUCAUUUCUGUAUUUAGAGAGGAGCUGUGUCUAUGCUACAACAGGAGAGUUCAGUAGUUGCAACAGAGAAACUGUAUGAUCUACAAACAAUAUUUACUAUCUGGCCCUUUACAGAAACAGUUUGCCAAUGUUUGUACUAGAAUGUAAACUCCAAGAAUGUAAAACCUUUGUCUCUUUAGUUUGCUGUUAUAUACCCAGCAUUAGAACAGUCUCUGGUCCAUUGCAGGUAUUCAUAUAAUAUUUGUUAAAUGCAUAAUUGAAUAAGUGAAUGAGUGUGCAGCAAGCCAAAAAUGUUCCAGAAAAAAAAUUCAUAUCUAAAUUUCUUGAACCUCUGAAUAUUGCCUUACAUGAAAAAUCAGACAAACAAAAAUCAAUCAUUGCAUGUGAUUAAGUUAAAGAUCUUGACCUAAAAGAUUAUCCAGUAUUAGCCAGAUGGACUCUAAAUACAAUCACAUGUAUCUGUAUAAGAGGGAAGCAGAAAGAAAUUUGACCACACAGACAGAAAAGGAGAGGGGAUGUGAUCACACAGGCAGAGGUUAGACUGAUGUACCACAAGCCAAUGAAUGUUGGUGGCCACUAGAAAUAUUAUCUAAAGGAUUAGGAAUUAUCUGUUUAGAACUUUCCUGAUGGCCACACCCUCCAAACCCCCGAUACUGAUUUCAGAUUUAUGACAUCCAGAACUGUAAAAGAAUAAAUUUCUAUUGUUUAAGCCACCAAGUUUCCAGUAAUUUGUUACAGAGGCAGCAGGAAACCAAUACAGAGGGGAAAAUGACUUAAAACUACUUCUAAUUCCAAGAUAAUGUUCAAAAUGUUCAUGCAAAAACUACUUCUUGUGUCAACAUUCAGUCUAUAUAAGUGCUCUUGAAAUUAAUUAUCACUAUAAUUCAGUCUCAUGAGGAAAAAUAUUUUGGCUUUUUUUGUGAACCAAAAAUUUAUAGCAAUUCAUAAGUUACAGUUUAUGGAUGAAAUUAAACAUAUUUGAGAUUAUUUUUAUAUUAGCACUUUAUAAAUCAGUUGCUGAAAUAGUCUGUUUUGAAAUAUUAGAUAUAACUGCCAGGAAUAAUUCUGAUAUUUUCUUUAACACAUUUUAGUCAUUUCUUGAAUUGCAAUGUUUUAUUAUCAUAAAUUGCCAAACUAAUAAAAUUAAUUGCUAUUGAAAAAUAAGAAUUGUGAAUGUCUUCAGGGUGAGGGCUGAGCAUGUAAAAAGUUUUUUUUUUUCCUUAAAAAAAUGGGACUCAGGGGAGGAAGUUCCCUUCUUCUCCUUCAGAGAAUGUGGUCAUGAUCAUUUCUCCCUGCAAAGACCUGGAAAGGCUGCAGCCGUUUUGGAAAUACGGACUUACACUUGGCUGAUAGGCUGAGUCUGGGAGAGUGCAAAGAUGAAAAAACACCUAGCACAUGGAUCGUGUCACUGAGCUACUGAAUCAAUCACGGAACCAUGCUCCAUCUGUACUUUGUGUUCUCUCAUAGAAUAAAUGUUCACUUUGGGUUGUGUAUCCAUUACUUGAAGCUAAAAAUCUCCCCAUGUAGGCAAUGAUCACUACAAUGGGUUACUUACGUUUCUGAGUAACGUACUCAUUUAAUGAAAAAAAGAUAGAGCAAAGUCCUCAAUCAUAUUUAUCAAUUAACAAGGGUCUGACUAAAACUACUUGAGGUUCCAGGGAGAUAACGUGGGAACCAAGAUAUUUAAUUGUCCAUCUGCCAUUUGAGGAUUUUUUUUUCCCCACAAAAGGAAUCAAUUUGUGUAGCCAUGAUGGUGACUUCAGCUGAUGCCUCUGUUGAGCACUGGCUGUACUGUUUAAAUGAUAUACUAAAAUGGACAAAUGGGCAGAAGCUUCUUCACAAAGAGCAAAUCUAUCUCUGGUUUGCGUGGUAACUUUCAUGCCUGUAGUAGAAUAAACUUCAAUAUAUCCUAUUUAUAAAAUUGCUCUGAAAAUGGAAGACAUCUUAAAAUGUUGGCAUGCACUCAAUAAGGUGGUAUUCUCUCCAAAUUUAAUAUAAAAUUAAUGUUUUAAAAUUGACAACAUCUUUGAAUCUACAAAAUACAUGUGCCCCACUCCAGACCUACUGCCACAUUGACUCUAUACCUACUAAUCUAACAAAUAGUGAGCUUGUUUGGAUUUUGCCAAAAGCAAAUAUUUAAACAUGAGAACAGUUAAUAUUCCCAAUUGCUGCUUCAUAUAAAACUAAGCUAGCAUUUAUUUUAUCUCCCUGUCUUGUUCCUUGUGCACUGUUCUGGCUCUGUAAGAACACUAGACUUUGCAUGAGAAAACUAAGGAUUCAACUGAAGAUGAUUUAUUAAGUUGGUGAUUUAUUUAAGUACAUUUAUUGUCAUUGUUUUGCAACACAUAAUACAAUUUCCAAAAUAACUAGGAAUUGUUUUCUUCUAUUUUAUAUUGUUUUUUGAAUUUCCUCUAUGAAGGAAUCAUUUAACCUUUCAGUUUAGGCACUAUAUUUUUUACCUCAUUAUGCAACAGAAAUGUUUUGAAAGUUGUAGUCUGAAACCCAGAAUUCAGUCUUAGCUCCACAACUUAGUGGUUACUUAGCUCUUCCAAUCUCUGCAUUUGCAUAAGUUUGGGGAUAACCGUAAUUAAGAUACCUUACCUUAAGUGGUAAGAUUUGGGGAUUAAAUGACAAAAUCAGAAAAGUCUUUGUUUGUGUUUAAGUUCUGUAUACAGAUGUUCCU
This 9873-nucleotide long non-coding RNA is filed under the name Homo sapiens (human). RNAcentral describes it as "HSALNT0248509". Lineage: Eukaryota; Metazoa; Chordata; Mammalia; Primates; Hominidae. The record is from RNAcentral.